This 624-nucleotide ribosomal RNA is filed under the name Trichoderma pubescens. RNAcentral describes it as "eukaryotic LSU rRNA". The stretch from base 238 to 391 matches the Rfam family "5.8S ribosomal RNA". The record is from RNAcentral. Lineage: Eukaryota; Fungi; Ascomycota; Sordariomycetes; Hypocreales; Hypocreaceae.
UGGAAGUAAAAGUCGUAACAAGGUCUCCGUGGUGAACCAGCGGAGGGAUCAUUACCGAGUUACAACUCCCAAACCCAAUGUGAACGUUACCAAACUGUUGCCUCGGCGGGGUCACGCCCCGGGUGCGUAAAAGCCCCGGAACCAGGCGCCCGCCGGAGGAACCAACCAAACUCUUUCUGUAGUCCCCUCGCGGACGUUAUUUCUUACAGCUCUGAGCAAAAAUUCAAAAUGAAUCAAAACUUUCAACAACGGAUCUCUUGGUUCUGGCAUCGAUGAAGAACGCAGCGAAAUGCGAUAAGUAAUGUGAAUUGCAGAAUUCAGUGAAUCAUCGAAUCUUUGAACGCACAUUGCGCCCGCCAGUAUUCUGGCGGGCAUGCCUGUCCGAGCGUCAUUUCAACCCUCGAACCCCUCCGGGGGAUCGGCGUUGGGGAUCGGGACCCCUCACCGGGUGCCGGCCCUGAAAUACAGUGGCGGUCUCGCCGCAGCCUCUCCUGCGCAGUAGUUUGCACAACUCGCACCGGGAGCGCGGCGCGUCCACGUCCGUAAAACACCCAACUUCUGAAAUGUUGACCUCGGAUCAGGUAGGAAUACCCGGCUGACUUAAGCAUAUCAAUAAGCGGAGGA